AACGAACGCUGGCGGCAGGCUUAACACAUGCAAGUCGAACGCACCUUUCGGGGUGAGUGGCAGACGGGUGAGUAACGCGUGGGAAUCUACCCUUCUCUACGGGAUAGCUCCGGGAAACUGGAAUUAAUACCGUAUACGUCCUGAGGGAGAAAGAUUUAUCGGGGAAGGAUGAGCCCGCGUUGGAUUAGCUAGUUGGUGGGGUAAAGGCCUACCAAGGCGACGAUCCAUAGCUGGUCUAAGAGGAUGAUCAGCCACAUUGGGACUGAGACACGGCCCAAACCCCUACGGGAGGCAGCAGGGGGGAAUAUUGGACAAGGGGCGAAAGCCUGAUCCAGCCAUGCCGGGUGAGUGAUGAAGGCCCUAGGGUUGUAAAGCUUUUUCAGUGGGGACGAUAAUGACGGUACCCACAGAAGAAGCCCCGGCUAAUUUCGU
This 432-nucleotide ribosomal RNA is filed under the name uncultured bacterium. Its description in RNAcentral is "partial 16S ribosomal RNA". It matches the Rfam family "Bacterial small subunit ribosomal RNA", at positions 29 to 506 of the family's 1533-position model. The record is from RNAcentral.